CUACGGGAGGCAGCAGUGGGGAAUAUUGCACAAUGGACGAAAGUCUGAUGCAGCAACGCCGCGUGGAGGAUGACACAUUUCGGUGCGUAAACUCCUUUUAUAUAGGAAGAUGAUGACGGUACUAUAUGAAUAAGCGCCGGCUAACUCCGUGCCAGCAGCCGCGGUAAUACGGAGGGCGCAAGCGUUACUCGGAAUCACUGGGCGUAAAGAGCGUGUAGGCGGAUUAAUAAGUUGGGAGUGAAAUCCUAUGGCUCAACCAUAGAACUGCUUCCAAAACUGUUAAUCUAGAGUAUGGGAGAGGUAGAUGGAAUUUCUGGUGUAGGGGUAAAAUCCGUAGAGAUCAGAAGGAAUACCGAUUGCGAAGGCGAUCUACUGGAACAUUACUGACGCUGAGACGCGAAAGCGUGGGGAGCAAACAGGAUUAGAUACCCGCGUAGUC
This 439-nucleotide ribosomal RNA is filed under the name uncultured bacterium. RNAcentral's name for it is "partial 16S ribosomal RNA". It matches the Rfam family "Bacterial small subunit ribosomal RNA", at positions 339 to 795 of the family's 1533-position model. The record is from RNAcentral.